CCGGGCGGCCCGGCAGGCAGAGCUCGGGGCGGGACGGGCGCUGCCUCCGCCCCCGACAAGAUGGCGCGGCCCGGCCCCGCUCCCUCAGGGCUCGGCCGCCAUGGCGGGGCGAAACAGCGUCGUGUCCCUGAGGGAUUCAGUGCAUGGUCACCCGCACAGGAAAGUUCUUCCUCGUGUUCAGGUAUUGAUGGACAUUAAUGGAUAUUGAUGGACACUGACGGAUAUUGGUGAUAUUGAUGAGGUCCCCAAACAAAGCCCCUUGGGCCCCAAAAGAUGACACCUCCACCACAUCCACAAAUGUCAUUUUCCUGAGAUUUUCAGUUUUCUGGUGGGGGCCGGGACCAGUGUGACACGAAUGUGACAAAUCCCCUCUCCCAGCCCACAGAGCUGGGUGUUUUCAGGCACUGCUGACGUCUGCAGCUCCGGUACCCAGCGCUGGACUCUGCCUCUCUCACGUCCCUCUCGGCAACAUCUGACGUCCCUAAUGGCUUCUGACAAGGUUAACUCGCUCUAAUUUGUGUCCUGCCCUUCCCAGAACGUGCAGUUCUCACACACAGCAGCUCGUGGCCCCUUGCCUUGCUCAGGGCUGAGCCCCUCAGCUGAUUCCUGCCCUUUCUCCUUCCACCGCCUGUCCUGAGGAGAUGUGACCCGUGCUGGGCUCUCUCCCCAGCCCUGCUGUUAUUUCAUCAAGGUGCAGCCCCCAGUCGAUGGGAAAGUGCUCCCCAUGCCACUGGCACCAGCUGGACCCUAUUCCAGCCAGACCUGCAAUUCUCUGUGGAUCUUUUGGGUCCUUGCUUCCAGCCUUGCCGCUGGUGCAGAGUUUGGCAAGCAGGAAUGCUGGCAGGGUGUUUGCUCUCCAGCUGCCCAACCCCUUCCCUUCCACCCCCUCUGUUGUAAUGUAGGCAAACCUGACGGGAAGAGAUGAUGGUGUCUGGCUCAGUUCAGAAGGUUGAAUAAUUUAUUAUAAUUAUACUAAAAUAUAUUAAUAAACUAAACAAAGAAAGACACUAAAAACUACAAACGUACUUGUUUUAACUAUAUUUUUAACUAACUCACAACUCAUGACCCUCUCUCUCGAGUCUAAACACAAGUAGGUCUGAUUAGCCAUCAGGCUCAAACCUUUCCAAAAUCUAAUCAAGUGAUCACUCUAGGUAAACAAUUCUCUAAACAUAUUUUGCAUAAGAAAAACAAAGAACAGGAAUAAAAAUUGUUUUCUCUUU
This is a non-coding RNA of Taeniopygia guttata (zebra finch), 1220 nucleotides long. Lineage: Eukaryota; Metazoa; Chordata; Aves; Passeriformes; Estrildidae. The record is from RefSeq and is a predicted model, not a curated record.